Molecule: ribosomal RNA, 497 nt
Filed under: uncultured bacterium
Lineage: Bacteria
Description: partial 16S ribosomal RNA
Rfam family: Bacterial small subunit ribosomal RNA
Source: RNAcentral
GAUGAACGCUGGCGGCGUGCCUAAUACAUGCAAGUCGAGCGAACAGACGAGGAGCUUGCUCCUCUGACGUUAGCGGCGGACGGGUGAGUAACACGUGGAUAACCUACCUAUAAGACUGGGAUAACUUCGGGAAACCGGAGCUAAUACCGGAUAAUAUAUUGAACCGCAUGGUUCAAUAGUGAAAGACGGUUUUGCUGUCACUUAUAGAUGGAUCCGCGCCGCAUUAGCUAGUUGGUAAGGUAACGGCUUACCAAGGCAACGAUGCGUAGCCGACCUGAGAGAGUGAUCGGCCACACUGGAACUGAGACAAGGUCCAGACUCCUAAGGGAGGCAGCAGUAGGGAAUCUUCCGCAAUGGGCGAAAGCCUGACGGAGCAACGCCGCGUGAGUGAUGAAGGUCUUCGGAUCGUAAAACUCUGUUAUUAGGGAAGAACAAAUGUGUAAGUAACUAUGCACGUCUUGACGGUACCUAAUCAGAAAGCCACGGCUAACUACGUG